AAAUUGAAGAGUUUGAUCAUGGCUCAGAUUGAACGCUGGCGGCAGGCCUAACACAUGCAAGUCGAACGGUAACAGGAAACAGCUUGCUGUUUCGCUGACGAGUGGCGGACGGGUGAGUAAUGUCUGGGAAACUGCCCGAUGGAGGGGGAUAACUACUGGAAACGGUAGCUAAUACCGCAUAACGUCGCAAGACCAAAGAGGGGGACCUUCGGGCCUCUUGCUAUCGGAUGUGCCCAGAUGGGAUUAGCUAGUAGGUGGGGUAACGGCUCACCUAGGCGACGAUCCCUAGCUGGUCUGAGAGGAUGACCAGCCACACUGGAACUGAGACACGGUCCAGACUCCUACGGGAGGCAGCAGUGGGGAAUAUUGCACAAUGGGCGCAAGCCUGAUGCAGCCAUGCCGCGUGUAUGAAGAAGGCCUUCGGGUUGUAAAGUACUUUCAGCGGGGAGGAAGGGAGUAAAGUUAAUACCUUUACUCAUUGACGUUACCCGCAGAAGAAGCACCGGCUAACUCCGUGCCAGCAGCCGCGGUAAUACGGAGGGUGCAAGCGUUAAUCGGAAUUACUGGGCGUAAAGCGCAC
RNAcentral lists this ribosomal RNA (580 nucleotides) under Escherichia coli. Its description in RNAcentral is "bacterial SSU rRNA". It matches the Rfam family "Bacterial small subunit ribosomal RNA", at positions 1 to 570 of the family's 1533-position model. The record is from RNAcentral. Lineage: Bacteria; Pseudomonadati; Pseudomonadota; Gammaproteobacteria; Enterobacterales; Enterobacteriaceae. RNAcentral also lists the same sequence under 2 other names.